GAAAAAUAAGUAAAGUGUAAAGAAAAAUGCAUAGUGCAUCCUAUCUCCAUCUUCAUCAAAAUUUGUUGCUGCUAACAACAUCCUCUUCACUUCAUCCUUAAUCUAAAAUUCCAUAUUAAACAUGCUCGAAGAGUGUGAGUAUACUGCAACAGUUCUUGGGAGAAAUAUCAAUGUUCACUGUAAUGAUGAAUAGCAGUUUUUAGAACAUCGAUGAAGCUUCUAACACAACUCGGAAUAGUCAUUGAUGCUACUACAAUUCUUUACUCAAUUCCAACCAACUAGUUCAACUUAUUACAAAGG
This is a non-coding RNA of Cicer arietinum (chickpea), 300 nucleotides long. The record is from RefSeq and is a predicted model, not a curated record. Lineage: Eukaryota; Viridiplantae; Streptophyta; Magnoliopsida; Fabales; Fabaceae.